This 736-nucleotide ribosomal RNA is filed under the name Neostagonospora phragmitis. RNAcentral's name for it is "SSU rRNA". It matches the Rfam family "Eukaryotic small subunit ribosomal RNA", at positions 360 to 1103 of the family's 1831-position model. Lineage: Eukaryota; Fungi; Ascomycota; Dothideomycetes; Pleosporales; Phaeosphaeriaceae. The record is from RNAcentral.
AACGGGGAAUUAGGGUUCGAUUCCGGAGAGGGAGCCUGAGAAACGGCUACCACAUCCAAGGAAGGCAGCAGGCGCGCAAAUUACCCAAUCCCGACACGGGGAGGUAGUGACAAUAAAUACUGAUACAGGGCUCUUUUGGGUCUUGUAAUUGGAAUGAGUACAAUUUAAACCUCUUAACGAGGAACAAUUGGAGGGCAAGUCUGGUGCCAGCAGCCGCGGUAAUUCCAGCUCCAAUAGCGUAUAUUAAAGUUGUUGCAGUUAAAAAGCUCGUAGUUGAACCUUGGGUCUGGCUGGCAGGUCCGCCUCACCGCGUGUACUUGUCCGGCCGGGCCUUCCUUCUGGAGAACCUCAUGCCCUUCACUGGGCGUGUUGGGGACCAGGACUUUUACUUUGAAAAAAUUAGAGUGUUCAAAGCAGGCCUUUGCUCGAAUACGUUAGCAUGGAAUAAUAGAAUAGGACGUGCGGUCCUAUUUUGUUGGUUUCUAGGACCGCCGUAAUGAUUAAUAGGGACAGUCGGGGGCAUCAGUAUUCAAUUGUCAGAGGUGAAAUUCUUGGAUUUAUUGAAGACUAACUACUGCGAAAGCAUUUGCCAAGGAUGUUUUCAUUAAUCAGUGAACGAAAGUUAGGGGAUCGAAGACGAUCAGAUACCGUCGUAGUCUUAACCGUAAACUAUGCCGACUAGGGAUCGGGCGAUGUUCUUUUUCUGACUCGCUCGGCACCUUACGAGAAAUCAAAG